AUUGAACGCUGGCGGCAGGCUUAACACAUGCAAGUCGAGCGGUAACAGUCCUUCGGGAGCUGACGAGCGGCGGACGGGUGAGUAAUGCAUAGGAAUCUACCUAGUAGUGGGGGAUAACGUUCGGAAACGGGCGCUAAUACCGCAUAAUUCCCACGGGGGAAAGCAGGGGCUCUUAGGACCUUGCGCUAUUAGAUGAGCCUAUGUCGGAUUAGCUAGUUGGUAGGGUAAAAGCCUACCAAGGCGACGAUCCGUAGCUGGUUUGAGAGGAUGAUCAGCCACACUGGGACUGAGACACGGCCCAGACUCUUACGGGAGGCAGCAGUGGGGAAUAUUGGACAAUGGGCGCAAGCCUGAUCCAGCCAUGCCGCGUGUGUGAAGAAGGCCUUAGGGUUGUAAAGCACUUUCAUUGAGGAGGAAGGCCAUUUAGUUAAUACCUAAGUGGAUUGACGUUACUCAAAGAAGAAGGACCGGCUAACUCCGUGCCAGCAGCCGCGGUAAAG
RNAcentral lists this ribosomal RNA (500 nucleotides) under uncultured bacterium. RNAcentral describes it as "bacterial SSU rRNA". It matches the Rfam family "Bacterial small subunit ribosomal RNA", at positions 30 to 525 of the family's 1533-position model. The record is from RNAcentral.